AUUGAACGCUGGCGGAAUGCUUUACACAUGCAAGACGAACGGCAGCAGGGACUUCGGUCUGGUGGCGAGUGGCGAACGGGUGAGUAAUGUAUCGGAACGUGCCCAGUCGUGGGGGAUAACGUAGUGAAAAUUACGCUAAUACCGCAUACGAUCUAUGGAUGAAAGCGGGGGAUCGCAAGACCUCGCGCGAUUGGAGCGGCCGAUAUCAGAUUAGGUAGUUGGUGGGGUAAAGGCCCACCAAGCCAACGAUCUGUAGCUGGUCUGAGAGGACGACCAGCCACACGGGAACUGAGACACGGUCCAGACUCCUACGGGAGGCAGCAGUGGGGAAUUUUGGACAAUGGGCGAAAGCCUGAUCCAGCCAUUCCGCGGGCAGGAUGAAGGCCCUCGGGUUGUAAACUGCUUUUGUACAGAACGAAAAGGUUUCUACUAAUACUAGGAGCUCAUGACGGUACUGUAAGAAUAAGCACCGGCUAACUACGUGCCAGCCGCCGCGGUAA
Molecule: ribosomal RNA, 500 nt
Filed under: uncultured bacterium
Lineage: Bacteria
Description: partial 16S ribosomal RNA
Rfam family: Bacterial small subunit ribosomal RNA
Source: RNAcentral